ACACGAACCAAGGAGUGCAACAUGCGUGCGAGUCUUUGGGUGGCAAACCCAGCGGCGCAAUGAAAGUGAAGGCAGGCAGUGGUCUGCCGAGGCGAGAGUCUCCCCUCGAGACGCAUCGUCGACCGAUCCCAGGUCACGCCGUGGCGGGAUUUGAGUGAGAGCGUGCCUGUUGCGACCCGAAAGAUGGUGAACUAUGCCUGAAUAGGGUGAAGCCAGAGGAAACUCUGGUGGAAGCUCGUAGCGAUUCUGACGUGCAAAUCGAUCGUCAAAUUUGGGUAUAGGGGCGAAAGACUAAUCGAACCAUCUAGUAGCUGGUUCCCUCCGAAGUUUCCCUCAGGAUAGCUGGAGCCCGGUGCAGUUUUAUCAGGUAAAGCGAAUGAUUAGAGGUCUUGGGGUUGAAACAACCUCAACCUAUUCUCAAACUUUAAAUGGGUAAGAAGCUCGGCUUGCUUAAUUGAAGUCGGGCAUCGAAUGCCGGGGUUCCUAGUGGGCCAUUUUUGGUAAGCAGAACUGGCGAUGUGGGAUGAACCAAAUGCUGGGUUAAGGUGCCCGAAUCGACGCUCAUCAGAUACCAUGAAAGGUGUUGGUUGAUCUAGACAGCAGGACGGUGGCCAUGGAAGUCGGAAUCCGCUAGGG
Molecule: ribosomal RNA, 636 nt
Filed under: Halichondria bowerbanki
Lineage: Eukaryota; Metazoa; Porifera; Demospongiae; Suberitida; Halichondriidae
Description: partial large subunit ribosomal RNA
Rfam family: Eukaryotic large subunit ribosomal RNA
Source: RNAcentral